CCAAUCACAGCCUCGUGAAUGCAGAGUCUGUCUGCCGCAGAUAUGAGAGGCUCGUGUUAAGUUUGUUCUGUACGAGUGACUCUGUUUUCGGUGUAAAUAACUUGCUGAAGUCGACACAACACUGUUUCCCUGGAGGGGAAGAUGAGUGCGUUUGAAAGUAAAGCCGCGGGCCCGGUGUGGAGGAGUCGAGGCGGAGAAGACAGGCGCACAGUCCCUAAAUUAAGCCUGAUUCCCGCAAACAAGGAGGCAGUCACUGCACAUUACGGCGAGACCCGCUGAAAGUUUGCAUUUGCAGUGCGGAAAAACGAUGCCCUUCUAUCUGCCUGUACUAUGACGUAAGACCCACUAUGAGCCAGUAUGAAGGAGCUUCCAGUACAUCCAACCGGACCUUGCAUCAGCAUUGAGGAGUUCAGGAGUCAGCAGAGAAGAAAGAGGCUGAUUGAAGCGGGACAGAUGAAUUGGAUCCAUCCUUCCACAGCCAGGAGCUCACCGACCUUUGUGCCACACUUCAAAUAUGACUAGAAGCUACACACCACAGACGUCUACACACUGGGGCAGAUUCGGACAGAGUCCCACAAAGAACAUAUGACCCAGAGGCUGCAAAGAGACAUUUCAAGCUUCACCUGAUUAGUUUUUCACUCGCUAGGCCAGUUGUGUUUAUAGAAUAUUUGUGCUGAUUCUAAAUAAAGCUUUGACUCAACAUA
This is a long non-coding RNA of Pleuronectes platessa (European plaice), 704 nucleotides long. RefSeq lists it as uncharacterized. The transcript has 4 exons. Lineage: Eukaryota; Metazoa; Chordata; Actinopteri; Pleuronectiformes; Pleuronectidae. The record is from RefSeq and is a predicted model, not a curated record.